Molecule: ribosomal RNA, 433 nt
Filed under: uncultured bacterium
Lineage: Bacteria
Description: partial 16S ribosomal RNA
Rfam family: Bacterial small subunit ribosomal RNA
Source: RNAcentral
AACGAACGCUGGCGGCAUGCCUAACACAUGCCAGUCGAACGAGACCUUCGGGUCUAGUGGCGCACGGGUGCGUAACGCGUGGGAACCUGCCCUUAGGUUCGGAAUAACUCCCCGAAAGGGGUGCUAAUACCGGAUAAUGUCUUCGGACCAAAGAUUUAUCGCCUUUGGAUGGGCCCGCGUUGGAUUAGCUAGUUGGUAGGGUAAAAGCCUACCAAGGCGACGAUCCAUAGCUGGUCUGAGAGGAUGAUCAGCCACACUGGGACUGAGACACGGCGCAGACUCCUACGGGAGGCAGCAGUGGGGAAUAUUGGAAAAUGGGCGAAAGCCUGAUCCAGCAAUGCCGCGUGAGUGAUGAAGGCCUUAGGGUUGUAAAGCUCUUUUACCCGGGAUGAUAAUGACAGUACCGGGAGAAUAAGCUCCGGCUAACUCCGUG